UUCUUUUCACUAAUCAAUGGAUGCAGUUUGAGAUUUGCCCUUGGUGACUGUUUAAGAUGACUUGUGUUUCAUGAAUUUUACUACUUUGGUCUUUUCUUGUGUGUGUGUGUUUCUUUUUCCAAAACUUCUAUGUUAUGUUUGACUUAAAACUGUGUGCUGCAAGUUUUAGAUUCAUACAUGUGCUUAAGUUUUGAAAACUAGCCAUUUUUUACUGAGAAUAUUAAUUAUAAAACAAGCUCAAGAAGAACUUCCUUUCCAUUUUUUCAAAGUUUUUGAAUUGUUUUUCCAAAUUACUAUCAAAGGAGCAGCUUAUUGUAUUAUUUACACUAAAAACCCACAUUCAUGGCCAGGGUGCUGAAAGAAAAUGCCAAAGACCGUGCCUGGAAGUAAAACAUGAUGGUUAAUAUCAUAGGUGUAUUAAAACAUUUUUAAAAAGGCUAAGAGUGUGGAAGCUCGAUGAGAGGCUUGGGAAUGCUAGGUCAUAAUCUUCAUCGGAAUCUGAGUGUACUAAGGUGGUGGAAGAAGUGGAACCGUACAAGUCCGUGCGGUGAGCUUGGAGGCAGCCAGGUGGGCGACUGGGACUGCUUGGAUGACCGAAGAAAUCAGUGAAAGUCAUCGGGGUGUUGAUCUGCAGUCUGAAUUUGUUAGUCCUUUAUUGGCAGUUUGGGUCAGGGAUUCUCAGUUGGAUGUUUGACAGCUACUGGUGGAUGUCGAGGCAUUGAACUUGGUUGACUGUGCUACAGGAAUCUGUGUUGAUUGAGUCUUCGGUGAAUUCUUCUUGGU
Long non-coding RNA from Limulus polyphemus (Atlantic horseshoe crab), 783 nucleotides. RefSeq lists it as uncharacterized. The record is from RefSeq and is a predicted model, not a curated record. Lineage: Eukaryota; Metazoa; Arthropoda; Merostomata; Xiphosura; Limulidae. The transcript is spliced from 3 exons.